UGCAGUCGAGCGAAUGACGAGAAGCUUGCUUCUCUGAUUUAGCGGCGGACGGGUGAGUAACACGUGGGCAACCUGCCCUACAGAUUGGGAUAACUCAGGGAAACCUGGGCUAAUACCGAAUAAUCCUUCGAAUCACAUGUUUUGAAGUUGAAAGGCGCUUCGGCGUCACUGUAGGAUGGGCCCGCGGUGCAUUAGCUAGUUGGUGGGGUAACGGCCUACCAAGGCAACGAUGCAUAGCCGACCUGAGAGGGUGAUCGGCCACAUUGGGACUGAGACACGGCCCAAACUCCUACGGGAGGCAGCAGUAGGGAAUCUUCCACAAUGGACGAAAGUCUGAUGGAGCAACGCCGCGUGAGUGAUGAAGGUUUUCGGAUCGUAAAACUCUGUUGUAAGGGAAGAACAAGUACGUUAGGAAAUGAACGUACCUUGACGGUACCUUAUUAGAAAGCCACGGCUAACUACGUGCCAGCAGCCGCGGUAAUACGUAGGUGGCAAGCGUUGUCCGGAUUUAUUGGGCGUAAAGCGCGCGCAGGUGGUUUCUUAAGUCUGAUGUGAAAGCCCACGGCUCAACCGUGGAGGGUCAUUGGAGACUGGGGAACUUGAGUGCAGAAGAGGAUAGUGGAAUUCCAAGUGUAGCGGUGAAAUGCGUAGAGAUUUGGAGGAACACCAGUGGCGAAGGCGACUGUCUGCUCUGUAACUGACACUGAUGCGCGAAAGCGUGGGGAGCAAC
This 730-nucleotide ribosomal RNA is filed under the name Kurthia gibsonii. RNAcentral describes it as "bacterial SSU rRNA". It matches the Rfam family "Bacterial small subunit ribosomal RNA", at positions 56 to 772 of the family's 1533-position model. The record is from RNAcentral. Lineage: Bacteria; Bacillati; Bacillota; Bacilli; Caryophanales; Caryophanaceae.